This 349-nucleotide ribosomal RNA is filed under the name Meglyphus laenoides. RNAcentral describes it as "partial 12S ribosomal RNA". The record is from RNAcentral. Lineage: Eukaryota; Metazoa; Arthropoda; Insecta; Coleoptera; Tenebrionidae.
UUAUUGGAAAUGUGAUUUUUUAGCUAGGAUUAUUAUGAGUUAUGUUCUUUAAAGUUAAAUAAUUUGGCGGUAUUUUAGUCUAUUCAGAGGAACCUGUUUCUUAAUUGAUAGUCCACGAUAAAAAUUACCUAAGCUUUAAAUUUAUAUAUCGUCGUUUAUAAAAAUUUCAGGAGAAAUAGAAUUUUUGAGGUUUUGAAUUUGAGAUUAAUUCAGAUCAAGGUGUAGUUGAUGCUUAGGAUGGGAUGGGUUACAUUAUAAUUAUAUGUGGUUUUUGUUUUUAAAAUUCAAAAUAAAAUGGAUUUGAUAGUAAUUUCUUUAUUUAUGAGAAUUGAUUUAGCUCUAAAAUAUG